This 301-nucleotide ribosomal RNA is filed under the name uncultured bacterium. Its description in RNAcentral is "partial 16S ribosomal RNA". It matches the Rfam family "Bacterial small subunit ribosomal RNA", at positions 509 to 807 of the family's 1533-position model. The record is from RNAcentral.
CAGUAGCCGCGGGAAUACGUAGGGUGCGAGCGUUGUCCGGAAUUACUGGGCGUAAAGAGCUCGUAGGUGGUUUGUCGCGUUGUUCGUGAAAACUCACAGCUUAACUGUGGGCGUGCGGGCGAUACGGGCAGACUAGAGUACUGCAGGGGAGACUGGAAUUCCUGGUGUAGCGGUGGAAUGCGCAGAUAUCAGGAGGAACACCGGUGGCGAAGGCGGGUCUCUGGGCAGUAACUGACGCUGAGGAGCGAAAGCGUGGGGAGCGAACAGGAUUAGAUACCCCAGUAGUCCCUGUCUCUUAUAC